UACGUAGGGGGCGAGCGUUGUCCGAAGUUACUGGGCGUAAAGCGCGCGUAGGCGGUCUAUUAAGUCUGAGGUGAAAGGUUCAACGCUCAACGUGAACAGUGCCUUGGAUACUGGUAGACUUGAGUGUGGCAGAGGAGUAUGGAAUUCCUGGUGUAGCGGUGAAAUGCGUAGAUAUCAGGAGGAAUACCGAUGGCGAAGGCAGUACUCUGGGCUAACACUGACGCUGAGGUGCGAAAGCGUGGGGAGCAAACGGG
Molecule: ribosomal RNA, 254 nt
Filed under: uncultured bacterium
Lineage: Bacteria
Also listed under: 1 other name
Description: partial 16S ribosomal RNA
Rfam family: Bacterial small subunit ribosomal RNA
Source: RNAcentral